GACGAACGCUGGCGGCGUGCCUAAUACAUGCAAGUCGAGCGGGGUUACUACGUCAGAUUCCUUCGGGAAGACGAUGUUUUAACCUAGCGGCGGACGGGUGAGUAACGCGUGGGUAACCUGCCCUAGAGACCGGGAUAACAACGGGAAACCGUUGCUAAUACCGGAUGCCUUUACAGGGAGGCAUCUUUCUGUAAAGAAAGCAUAAGCGCUCUAGGAUGGGCCCGCGUCCCAUUAGCUAGUUGGUGAGGUAACUGCUCACCAAGGCGACGAUGGGUAGCCGGCCUGAGAGGGUGACCGGCCACACUGGGACUGAGACACGGCCCAGACUCCUACGGGAGGCAGCAGUAGGGAAUAUUGCGCAAUGGGCGAAAGCCUGACGCAGCGACGCCGCGUGAGUGAUGAAGGCCUUCGGGUCGUAAAACUCUGUCCUCAGGGAAGAAAAUUUGACGGUACCUGAGGAGGAAGCCCCGGCUAACUACGUGCCAGCAGCCGCGGUAAUACGUAGGGGGCGAGCGUUGNCCGGAAUUAUUGGGCGUAAAGGGUGCGUANGCGGNCUUUUAAGUCAGGUGUGAAAGGCCACAGCUUAACUGUGGGGGUGCACUUG
Molecule: ribosomal RNA, 604 nt
Filed under: uncultured bacterium
Lineage: Bacteria
Description: bacterial SSU rRNA
Rfam family: Bacterial small subunit ribosomal RNA
Source: RNAcentral